This 542-nucleotide ribosomal RNA is filed under the name Clonostachys rosea. Its description in RNAcentral is "eukaryotic LSU rRNA". The stretch from base 160 to 313 matches the Rfam family "5.8S ribosomal RNA". Lineage: Eukaryota; Fungi; Ascomycota; Sordariomycetes; Hypocreales; Bionectriaceae. The record is from RNAcentral.
GGGGGUUCCAAUUUUACUCCCAACCCAUGUGACAUACCUACUGUUGCUUCGGCGGGAUUGCCCCGGGCGCCUCGUGUGCCCCGGAUCAGGCGCCCGCCUAGGAAACUUAACUCUUGUUUUAUUUUGGAAUCUUCUGAGUAGUUUUUACAAAUAAAUAAAAACUUUCAACAACGGAUCUCUUGGUUCUGGCAUCGAUGAAGAACGCAGCGAAAUGCGAUAAGUAAUGUGAAUUGCAGAAUUCAGUGAAUCAUCGAAUCUUUGAACGCACAUUGCGCCCGCCAGUAUUCUGGCGGGCAUGCCUGUCUGAGCGUCAUUUCAACCCUCAUGCCCCUAGGGCGUGGUGUUGGGGAUCGGCCAAAGCCCGCGAGGGACGGCCGGCCCCUAAAUCUAGUGGCGGACCCGUCGUGGCCUCCUCUGCGAAGUAGUGAUAUUCCGCAUCGGAGAGCGACGAGCCCCUGCCGUUAAACCCCCAACUUUCCAAGGUUGACCUCAGAUCAGGUAGGAAUACCCGCUGAACUUAAGCAUAUCAAUAAGCGGAGGAA